This 220-nucleotide ribosomal RNA is filed under the name uncultured bacterium. RNAcentral describes it as "partial 16S ribosomal RNA". It matches the Rfam family "Bacterial small subunit ribosomal RNA", at positions 524 to 743 of the family's 1533-position model. The record is from RNAcentral.
UACGUAGGGUGCAAGCGUUAAUCGGAAUUACUGGGCGUAAAGCGUGCGCAGGCGGUUUUGUAAGUCUGACGUGAAAUCCCCGGGCUCAACCUGGGAAUUGCGUUGGAGACUGCAAGGCUGGAGUCUGGCAGAGGGGGGUAGAAUUCCACGUGUAGCAGUGAAAUGCGUAGAGAUGUGGAGGAACACCGAUGGCGAAGGCAGCCCCCUGGGUCAAGACUGA